UGGGGAAUAUUGCACAAUGGGCGAAAGCCUGAUGCAGCAACGCCGCGUGAGUGAUGAAGGUCUUCGGAUUGUAAAGCUCUGUCUUUUGGGACGAUAAUGACGGUACCAAAGGAGGAAGCCACGGCUAACUACGUGCCAGCAGGCCGCGGUAAUACGUAGGUGGCGAGCGUUGUCCGGAUUUACUGGGCGUAAAGGGUGCGUAGGCGGAUGUUUAAGUGAGAUGUGAAAUACCCGGGCUUAACUUGGGUGCUGCAUUUCAAACUGGAUAUCUAGAGUGCAGGAGAGGAGAAUGGAAUUCCUAGUGUAGCGGUGAAAUGCGUAGAGAUUAGGAAGAACACCAGUGGCGAAGGCGGCCC
Molecule: ribosomal RNA, 356 nt
Filed under: uncultured bacterium
Lineage: Bacteria
Description: partial 16S ribosomal RNA
Rfam family: Bacterial small subunit ribosomal RNA
Source: RNAcentral